This 253-nucleotide ribosomal RNA is filed under the name uncultured bacterium. Its description in RNAcentral is "partial 16S ribosomal RNA". It matches the Rfam family "Bacterial small subunit ribosomal RNA", at positions 524 to 776 of the family's 1533-position model. The record is from RNAcentral.
UACGAAGGGUGCAAGCGUUAAUCGGAAUUACUGGGCGUAAAGCGCGCGUAGGUGGUUCAGUAAGUUGGAAGUGAAAUCCCCGGGCUCAACCUGGGAACUGCUUUCAAAACUGCUGAGCUAGAGUACGGUAGAGGGUGGUGGAAUUUCCUGUGUAGCGGUGAAAUGCGUAGAUAUAGGAAGGAACAUCAGUGGCGAAGGCGACCACCUGGACUGAUACUGACACUGAGGUGCGAAAGCGUGGGGAGCAAACAGG